RNAcentral lists this ribosomal RNA (349 nucleotides) under uncultured bacterium. Its description in RNAcentral is "bacterial SSU rRNA". It matches the Rfam family "Bacterial small subunit ribosomal RNA", at positions 8 to 349 of the family's 1533-position model. The record is from RNAcentral.
AGAGUUUGAUCCUGGCUCAGGAUGAACGCUAGCUACAGGCUUAACACAUGCAAGUCGAGGGGAAACGACAUCGAAAGCUUGCUUUUGAUGGGCGUCGACCGGCGCACGGGUGAGUAACGCGUAUCCAACCUGCCCACCACUUGGGGAUAACCUUGCGAAAGUAAGACUAAUACCCAAUGACGUCUCUAGAAGACAUCUGAAAGGGAUUAAAGAUUUAUCGGUGAUGGAUGGGGAUGCGUCUGAUUAGCUUGUUGGCGGGUAACGGCCACCAAGGCUACGAUCAGUAGGGUUCUGAGAGGAAGGUCCCCCANAUUGGAACUGAGACACGGUCCAAACUCCGACGGGAGCA